AUGAGAUUUCCUUCUCUCGUUUGUGCUCCCGGGGUAAGAUGUGAUCCUGUUCUAAGCCAAUCUCAUAUUUGCAGAUUGAAGAGAAGCACAAGCAGGACAGCUUUUAAACCGGCCCAAGAAAAAUGUUCAAUUCAUUUGUGGAUUUCACUUUGCAGACAACCUAAGAACAAACUGCAAGUGUGCUCCUUCUUUGAAGACGGCCACAGGUGGAGAUGGCGACCUCAGAGCAUGACAGACUCAAGAUGUGUAAGGUUUCUUCACUGAAAGAAACAAGCCGUAGGUGUGGAGGUGAGCAAGUGUCGUUGUAAGGGAGUGUUACAGUCCUGGGCACUGUGUGUUUCUCAGCCUUUCCUGAGCUAAGGAAACUUCUGUGCAACAAGAAAGAAGAUGUAAUGUUCAGAAGAGCAAGCCUGCUGACAGCUGAAAACUUUGUUUAUUGCCUUUGGUUAUCUCCACUUUACUGCACCAAAUUUUCUGGUUCUGCACAGCCAUUGACAAGGCACAGAGAGAGGAAACGAUGCCACUUUUCAGGUGGAAGCUGAUAGUAGGUGGCAUGAGGAAGGGAAACAACUACAGCAGGAUGUUUCAAUGUCUUCAGGCAUGCUCUAGCUCCCUGACACAUUGGCAUUUUUCGGCAAGACACUGCGAAGUGCAUGCACUUCAUCAGGAUCCAUUGUUUGUGUGACUCUGUCACACCCUCCCUGGGCUCCAGAAGGUGAGAAACUGAGCCUAAUGAAGUCAUGGAAAAACACCAGAGAAGCACUGCUUAACAUGCUCUGCCUUUCCUCAGCCUGUGCUGUUUCUGUAAUCCUGACCUCAUCCCUUUCUCUGGUGUCCAGCCUGGAUCCAGAGAUGGUAACUGAAGCUUGUCAUCUCGGUUGCCCAACACUUUACCAAGCCUUUACCUCAGAAAAGUAGUUGCUGUGAAGGUGAUGGCUCUCUGCCUACUCUGUCAUUGGAGUGGAAAUGCCACCAAGAUUUAAAGCUCCCUUCUCCCUGCCCCUCUGCUCCAGGACCACAGAGGUGAGAGGAUGCAGCUUUAAUCCAUCCUGUUCACUCUGCUCCUGACUGCUGCACUAGUUUUAAUAGAAAUUGGAGAAGAUGGAAUCCUACUGCAGAGCAUCAGUUUCACUUUAGUUAAGAUUCCAUUUGUAAAUGGGUGUCAGGUGUCGCCUGCACCAAGGCAGGCAAAUAUGUGGGACCUGGUGAAACAGGAAUGCAGAAGGAAUAAAACAGGCUGCUUGGUACA
RNAcentral lists this long non-coding RNA (1249 nucleotides) under Numida meleagris (helmeted guineafowl). RNAcentral's name for it is "lncRNA (ENSNMEG00000004581.1)". Lineage: Eukaryota; Metazoa; Chordata; Aves; Galliformes; Numididae. The record is from RNAcentral.